RNAcentral lists this ribosomal RNA (484 nucleotides) under uncultured bacterium. RNAcentral describes it as "partial 16S ribosomal RNA". It matches the Rfam family "Bacterial small subunit ribosomal RNA", at positions 29 to 523 of the family's 1533-position model. The record is from RNAcentral.
AGUGAACGCUGGCGGCGUGCUUAACACAUGCAAGUCGAACGAGAACGGAUUAUAGCUUGCUAUAAUUGUCAGCUAAGUGGCGCACGGGUGAGUAAUGUAUAGGUAAUAUGCCUCUUACUAAGGGAUAACAAUUGGAAACGUUUGCUAAUACCUUAUACUCCUUAUUAACAUAAGUUAAUAAGGGAAAGAUUUAUUGGUAAGAGAUUAGCCUGUAUUGUAUCAGUUAGUUGGUGGGGUAAUGGCUUACCAAGACUAUGACACAUAACUGGUUUGAGAGGAUAAUCAGUCACACUGGAACUGAUACACGGUCCAGACUCCUACGGGAGGCAGCAGUGGGGAAUAUUGCACAAUGGACGAAAGUCUGAUGCAGCAACGCCGCGUGGAGGAUGACACAUUUCGGUGCGUAAACUCCUUUUAUAUGAGAAGAUAAUGACGGUAUUAUAUGAAUAAGCACCGGCUAACUCCGUGCCAGCCGCCGCCGUAA